CAUGUAGGGUGCGAGCGUUGUCCGGAAUUAUUGGGCGUAAAGAGCUCGUAGGCGGUGUGUCGCGUCGGCCGUGAAAACCUGCAGCUUAACUGUGGGCGUGCGGUCGAUACGGGCAUCACUGGAGUUCGGCAGGGGAGACUGGAAUUCCUGGUGUAGCGGUGAAAUGCGCAGAUAUCAGGAGGAACACCGGUGGCGAAGGCGGGUCUCUGGGCCGAUACUGACGCUGAGGAGCGAAAGCGUGGGGAGCGAACAGG
RNAcentral lists this ribosomal RNA (254 nucleotides) under uncultured bacterium. Its description in RNAcentral is "partial 16S ribosomal RNA". It matches the Rfam family "Bacterial small subunit ribosomal RNA", at positions 524 to 776 of the family's 1533-position model. The record is from RNAcentral.